This 581-nucleotide ribosomal RNA is filed under the name Botrytis sp. RNAcentral's name for it is "partial large subunit ribosomal RNA". It matches the Rfam family "Eukaryotic large subunit ribosomal RNA", at positions 76 to 668 of the family's 3401-position model. Lineage: Eukaryota; Fungi; Ascomycota; Leotiomycetes; Helotiales; Sclerotiniaceae. The record is from RNAcentral.
UCCCUUCAGUUUACGGCGAGUGAAGCGGUAAAAGCUCAAAUUUGAAAUCUGGCUCUUGUAGAGUCCGAAUUGUAAUUUGUAGAAGAUGCUUCGGGUGUGGUUCCGGUCUAAGUUCCUUGGAACAGGACGUCAUAGAGGGUGAGAAUCCCGUAUGUGACUGGAUACCUAUGCUCAUGUGAAGCUCUUUCGACGAGUCGAGUUGUUUGGGAAUGCAGCUCAAAAUGGGAGGUAUAUUUCUUCUAAAGCUAAAUAUUGGCCAGAGACCGAUAGCGCACAAGUAGAGUGAUCGAAAGAUGAAAAGCACUUUGGAAAGAGAGUUAAACAGUACGUGAAAUUGUUGAAAGGGAAGCGCUUGCAAUCAGACUUGCACUUGGUGUUCAUCAGGGUCUCGUACCCUGUGUACUUCAUCAAGUUCAGGCCAGCAUCAGUUUGAGUGGUUAGAUAAAGGCUUAGAGAAUGUGGCCCUCUUCGGGGGGUGUUAUAGCUCUAGGUGCAAUGUAGCCUACUUGGACUGAGGACCGCGCUUCGGCUAGGAUGCUGGCGUAAUGGUUGUAAGCGACCCGUCUUGAACCCACGGACCA